Xyrichtys novacula (pearly razorfish) is the source of this 4345-nucleotide non-coding RNA. NCBI's taxonomy places the organism in Eukaryota, Metazoa, Chordata, Actinopteri, Labriformes, Labridae. The record is from the annotation of a GenBank genome assembly.
UUCAGUGGAAUAACUGAGUAACAAAUGAUAAUCAUCAUUUACUGAAAAUCACUUGGUGUGAAUGCUUGCAGGAUUAUAUCUGUUUCUUUUAGCGAAUGAGUAUGAGAAAGGAGAAGCGUGGCCUUGGAGUUGUGACUGAUUCUUUUCCACUGAAGCCAUGCAACUAAUUGAAUGCUACAAUUUCACUCACAGGUUGUUUCCCCAACAAAGUGACAUUGAACUGAUAGGCAGGAACCUGAUGAUGAACUGAGCUCUCUUUGUUCUCCCAGUACAGACCACAGCUGCAACCCUUACCAUAUUUAGACACUGUGAUCAAAUAUGAUCAAAUAUCUAUUCAAUAAAACAAUAACGAAAAAAGGAAUUUUGUGUGCGUCAAUCUUGCCCUGACAUAUUUAAUAUUCAACAAAGGAAACUAUGCAAAGAGCAUAUUUGAAUGUGAGUGUCUGUCUGAGCAAAUGUCCUUAUAGGGUCUGUUAUGUUUUCUAGGUUCAACCGUGUGUGAGCCUGUCUGCGGCCUGGUGAACCGCAGGUCACUGCCCGCAAGUCAUAGGGAUCUGGCGAAGUUUGUUAGUCUGUCCACUGAAGUUAUUGUCACAACCACAACACACCAACCUCAGAGAGACUGACAGAGAGCCGACUGGGAAGUCAAAAAGCAGUGUUUUCCCAUGUGAUUCAUCCUGAGGGAAACAGUGGAAAAUGAAGUGAAAAAUAUCCUUCGUGCAGGACAAUCCCCUGCCUCAUUAAAGUGAAAACAGAGAAAAAAAUGAUCAAGUUUAAAAUAUUUAACUCCUUUAAUCAAACUCUAAUAGACAACUGAGGGUCCUCAACAAUGAAAGUUUUAUAUUUUCAUAUUAAAUUAUUUAUAUUAAAGAAAGAAGAAGAAAAUAGAGGGACUGUAGACAUCAAGAAUGAAAAAGUUUGGGCUUGUCCCAAAAGCACUCUCUGAAGAAGCGAGAGGGGAAUUUCAAAGCCCAGACUGGGACUGGUAUAAUUAGUAGUGUUGUGUAGUGGAUACAUCCGGCGGAACUAGGAAAGCCUGGCAGGUGGACGUUUCUCAGAGACCAGACAGAAAUAUAAAGUAUGGCUGCCAUCCAUCCAGUCAGUCUUACAUAAAGUACCAACAGGGGUCACUGAGUGGUAGUGGGACUGCAGCAUGUUUCAUUAAAAUACUGUCAAAAGACCAAUCUAACUGACACUUUGUCUCAUGAGAGCUGAUCUAAUUAACUCAAAACUUCUGAGUCUUUAUAUCGAUCGUAUCACAAAUGUGGAAUAAAACACAUUUUAAUUCCCUCUUUAUUAUCAAGUAAACUGUAUUAAAGGAUUAACUGAUAUGAAAGGUUUAUGUAGGUUUAAGUUAAUACAAAAAAUUGCAGCUUAGAGAACAGGGCUGAAUACACAACAAAGAUGAGAUACUUUAUGUUCAAACUAAUAAACAUCAUUGUUUUUUGCAAAUAUUCACUCAUUUACUUUUUUUGAAUUUGAUGUCUGCAGGACAUUCCAAAAAAGUUGCAACAGGGUCAACAAAAGACUGAAAAUUGAGAAUUCCUCCCAAAACACCUGUUUGGAUCAUACCUCAAGUGAGCGAGUUCAUUGGAAACAGGUAAGUGUCAUGAUGGCAAGGAGCAUUAAGAAAGGCUCAGUUAUUUAAAAGCAAGGAUGGGAGCAGGUUCACCACUUUGGCAACUUCUGUGUGAGCAAAUAGUCAGACAGCAUAACAACAAACAUGUUGUUCCUUUGGUUAAGGUUUUGAUGUAAGUUUUUAUUUUCAUAUUGUGGUACAUCUUUAUUCAGUGGAGGAUGUGAACACUCCUCCACACACUAAGAGGGAAACAUGCUUUUCUUUUAUGGGUUGUCUCUUCUGAAGCAUUUGAUCAUUUCAAAUGCUACCAUUUCAUCCUCUGUUCAAACAAAACCAAAAUACAGCCUGUGUUCUCCAAAACACCAGAAAAUCCUGGCAACCUCACUGUCCUGCUGAUCCAAAUUGGCCACUAACUCAGUUCUGACUGUCCUGCAGAAACCAAAUAAACCUUUAUUGAGAUGAAGACUCUGCGUACAAGGAAUUUCUCAUGCACAAGCAAUAAAACUACUGUGAGGUUCAGUUUUGAACAACUGUUCAUUUAACGUACCUUCUAUGACCAUCAACCUUCUAUGAAUUUAAUCCAAAACCUAACCCUAACCCUAGCCAAACCCUAACCCUAACCCUAGCCCUAACCCUAACCCUACCCCUAGCCAAACCCUAACCCUAACACUAGCAUCAACCCUAAGGCCUUGAUUAGCCUACCCCAAACUGCCAAGUCAACAGACAAAAGCGGGGGCUAUCACUGUAUCUCUUACCCACACCUAACCCUACCCCUAGCCAAACCCUAACCCUAACACUAGUAUAAACCCUAACCCUAACCCUAGCCAAACCCUAACCCUAAUCCAAACCCUAACCCUAACCCUAGCCCUAACCCUAACACUAACCCUACCCCUAGCCAGACCCUAACCCUAACACUAGCAUCAACCCUAACCCUAACCCUAGCCAAACCCUAACCCUAACCCUAGCCUCAACCCUAACCCUAACCCUAGCCAAACCCUAACCCUAGCCCUAACCCUAACCCUAACCCUGGCCCUAACCCUAGCAUAUACCCUAACCCUAACCCGAACCCCUAACCCGAACCCUAACCCUAACCCUAACCUGGGUUCUAACCCUAACCCUAACCAUAGCCCUAACCCUAACCUGGGCUCUAAACCUAACCCUAACCCUAGCCCUAACCCUAACCUGGGCUCUAACCCUAACCCUAACCCUAACCCUAGCCCUAACCCUAACCCUAACCCUAGAUUGGGCUGUAACCCUAACCCUAACCCUAACCCUAGGUCUAACCCUAACCCUAACCAUAGAGGGUCAAUAAAUAAAUUAAUAAAUAAAUAAAUACAAAAAGACAUUACAUCAUAUAUUACAUGGUAAAUUAUCUACAAGGGUUUUAAAGGGUUAAAAGAGUAAGUAGAAAAAGGGUUUAUAAAUUAGUUAAUAAAUAAGUAAAUUCAUUGUAUUUUUCUCUGGGACAGUAUAAAAGGCAGAACCCAGUAGGGAAAGUUCAUUUUCACCCUGACAGAGACUAAGUAAAGACCUAUUUCAUUUCAAUUCAUUGUGUGUGCCUUGGCCUGAGGAAGACCAACAUAGGUCGAAACGUAGCAUCAGAGGCACACAAGAAGAAGGCUAAAAAGGGUUCAUGGUUUAAAACAAAUUAAAAAAUCUCGAAAAAAACAUUAAAAAGUCUAAAAAAAGCAAAAAAAUUUAAAAAAAUAAUAAAAAAAUACAAAAAUAUUAAAAACAUUAAAAACCAGUUGAUAUUUUGAAAACUUUUAUAUUUAGGGUGUUAAUCAAUAUUUCUUUUCAAGAAAGAAGUUUAAAACAAAGUAAAAUCAACAAUUUAUUUUAAGAAAGGGUUAAAAACAUUUUAUUUCAAAAAGGAAGUUUAAAAAACAGAGUAAAAUCAACAAUUUAUUUUAAGAAAAGGGUUAAAAACAGUUUAUUAAAAACACAAUUUUGUUUUAGAAAGCCUUUAUUUUAUUUUGUGGGAAUAAUCAAAAUUUAAGUUCAAAUAAGAAAACAAUUAAUAAUUAAAAACAAAUUAAAACUACAAACCUGAUGGCCACUCAACGAUUGAGUGGCCUUGACGGCUGGACGGAAGUCCGCUAUGGCUGUAACGGCCGGAGCUUCCGCCAGCCAUUCCGGGACCGGGGGAACGUGUCCGGUCGAGGGAAGGCCCGUGCAUUCCCCGCUCCCUAUGGGAGACGGGAUUCAUUCCCCAAACCUAACCCUAACCCUUUUGUGCCCAUAGCCUGAAGAAGACCCACAGCGGUCGAAAUGUCGCGACUGGGCACUCUUUAUCACACCUUUUCUUUAUUUCUUUGUCUUCAUAGACAUUUUAUUCAGUUUGCUUUCUUUAAUUUCAUUUUAUUUCAUUUUUAUUUCACAAAAAAACAAAAAAGCAUAAAAAAAUAAGAACAAUUCAUUUAUUUUGUUAUACUGUUUUAGUUUUAAAUACCUUUAUUUCAAUAAAUAAAUAAAUUAGAUAGGUAGAUAGACCAAUAAAUAAAUAAAUAGUUUAGUCAAUACACCACAUUAAUAAAUAGUAAUAAAUAAUUGAAAAGAUUAGAAACAGUCAUGACUUACGAGCAAGAACAAUGGACUGAAGUGCGAUACGGGAGAAGGCGUGGUCGACGCCCGUACCACACUAAUCAGCAGUACCAAACGGGGUCGUGGGGGACGGGGAACAGGGGGAUGGACCGUGCACCUCCUGUCUCCUAUUCUAGGAGACAGUCCCCCUAUUCCCGUAAUCCUAACCCUAACCUCUAACCC